This 616-nucleotide unclassified non-coding RNA is filed under the name Hevea brasiliensis (rubber tree). Lineage: Eukaryota; Viridiplantae; Streptophyta; Magnoliopsida; Malpighiales; Euphorbiaceae. The record is from RNAcentral.
AGACCCCAAUGAAGAGUGAAUAACAAUAAGGGUAAUUUACAAUAAGUUCUUAAGGUAUAGCAAAACUCACAAGCACCAUAACCCAGAAGGGGAAUGCGUCAGACUGUUACAAAAGAAAUCAAACAGGAAACUAUGGCUCUACAAUGAAAUUGGGCAACCUCUUCUAUGCUAGCCGGGUUUGCACGUGAGUCUGGCUCAAUCCCAGUUCUCUAUUAUGUCACAAAAAACCUUGACAGCCUCUUCUUCACAGCCCCGUGAUCAUUGUGUAUGCAUUACCACAGUCCUCCUUGGCAUCUCAUCAAAAACCUGCUUUGCCUCAAAAAUUAAACCCAUCUUUGGAUACAUAUCCGCUAAAGGACUGCCCAUGAAAACAUAACCUCCAAACCCAAAUUUCUGAGCAACGGAGUUAGCGUCUUUUGCACUCAACGCUUGAUUAGUAUUCAGCAGUCUGCAGUGCCUCGACAAUCCAAAGCGCCAAUCUCCGCCCUUUGGCUGUCACCGUGUUAGGGACGUUGACGCUUUCACCUUCAGCACAAAGACUUGCGUCAAAAGCUUGUGUGUGUGAUUUCCCUCCUUAGAAUAAAGGGAAAAGGAGAGAGGGAGAGGCGGAGAGCUG